This is a small nuclear RNA of Carcharodon carcharias (great white shark), 113 nucleotides long. RefSeq annotates it as U5 spliceosomal RNA. Lineage: Eukaryota; Metazoa; Chordata; Chondrichthyes; Lamniformes; Lamnidae. The record is from RefSeq and is a predicted model, not a curated record. The transcript has a single exon.
AUUCUCUGGGUUCUCUUCAGAUCGUAUAAAUAUUUCACCUUCUACUAAAGCUUUCUGUGGAGAGGAGCAUUCAAAGUUUAAAUUAAUUUUUUGUUGCCCUGCUCUGGUAGAAA